This 254-nucleotide ribosomal RNA is filed under the name uncultured prokaryote. RNAcentral's name for it is "partial 16S ribosomal RNA". It matches the Rfam family "Bacterial small subunit ribosomal RNA", at positions 524 to 777 of the family's 1533-position model. The record is from RNAcentral.
UACGGAGGAUGCAAGCGUUAUCCGGAUUUAUUGGGUUUAAAGGGUGCGCAGGUUGUUUGAUAAGUCAGUGGUGAAAGUCUGUCGCUUAACGGUAGGAUUGCCAUUGAUACUGUUGGACUUGAAUAUGGAUGAGGUAGGCGGAAUGUGUAGUGUAGCGGUGAAAUGCAUAGAUAUUACACAGAACACCGAUUGCGAAGGCAGCUUACUAAUCCAUCAUUGACACUGAGGCACGAAAGCGUGGGGAGCAAACAGGA